RNAcentral lists this ribosomal RNA (506 nucleotides) under uncultured bacterium. RNAcentral's name for it is "partial 16S ribosomal RNA". It matches the Rfam family "Bacterial small subunit ribosomal RNA", at positions 30 to 523 of the family's 1533-position model. The record is from RNAcentral.
AUUGAACGCUGGCGGCAGGCCUAACACAUGCAAGUCGGACGGUAGCACAGAGGAGCUUGCUCCUCGGGUGACGAGUGGCGGACGGGUGAGUAAUGUCUGGGGAUCUGCCCGAUAGAGGGGGAUAACCACUGGAAACGGUGGCUAAUACCGCAUAACGUCGCAAGACCAAAGAGGGGGACCUUCGGGCCUCUCACUAUCGGAUGAACCCAGAUGGGAUUAGCUAGUAGUCGGGGUAACGGCCCACCUAGGCGACGAUCCCUAUCUGGUCUGAGAGGAUGACCAGCCACACUGGAUCUGAGACACGGUCCAGACUACUACGGGAGGCAGCAGUGGGGAAUAUUGCACAAUGGGCGCAAGCCUGAUGCAGCCAUGCCGCGUGUAUGAAGAAGGCCUUCGGGUUGUAAAGUACUUUCAGCGGGGAGGAAGGCGAUGUGGUUAAUAACCGCGUCGAUUGACGUUACCCGCAGAAGAAGCACCGGCUAACUCCGUGCCAGCCGCCGCCGUAA